RNAcentral lists this unclassified non-coding RNA (2134 nucleotides) under uncultured Synechococcus sp. RNAcentral describes it as "bacterial SSU rRNA". The stretch from base 1 to 1328 matches the Rfam family "Bacterial small subunit ribosomal RNA", at positions 187 to 1533 of the family's 1533-position model. Lineage: Bacteria; Bacillati; Cyanobacteriota; Cyanophyceae; Synechococcales; Synechococcaceae. The record is from RNAcentral.
CAUAUGCCGAGAGGUGAAAUGAAUUUCGCCUGAGGAUGAGCUCGCGUCUGAUUAGCUAGUUGGUGUGGUAAUGGCUCACCAAGGCUUCGAUCAGUAGCUGGUCUGAGAGGAUGAUCAGCCACACUGGGACUGAGACACGGCCCAGACUCCUACGGGAGGCAGCAGUGGGGAAUUUUCCGCAAUGGGCGAAAGCCUGACGGAGCAACGCCGCGUGAGGGAUGAAGGCCUCUGGGCUGUAAACCUCUUUUAUCAAGGAAGAAGAUCUGACGGUACUUGAUGAAUAAGCCACGGCUAAUUCCGUGCCAGCAGCCGCGGUAAUACGGGAGUGGCAAGCGUUAUCCGGAAUUAUUGGGCGUAAAGCGUCCGCAGGCGGUUUUACAAGUCUGUCGUUAAAGCGUGGAGCUUAACUCCAUUUCAGCGAUGGAAACUGUAGAACUAGAGUGUGGUAGGGGCAGAGGGAAUUCCCGGUGUAGCGGUGAAAUGCGUAGAUAUCGGGAAGAACACCAGUGGCGAAGGCGCUCUGCUGGGCCAUAACUGACGCUCAUGGACGAAAGCCAGGGGAGCGAAAGGGAUUAGAUACCCCUGUAGUCCUGGCCGUAAACGAUGAACACUAGGUGUCGGGGGAAUCGACCCCCUCGGUGUCGUAGCCAACGCGUUAAGUGUUCCGCCUGGGGAGUACGCACGCAAGUGUGAAACUCAAAGGAAUUGACGGGGGCCCGCACAAGCGGUGGAGUAUGUGGUUUAAUUCGAUGCAACGCGAAGAACCUUACCAGGGUUUGACAUCCUGCGAAUCCCUUGGAAACGAGGGAGUGCCUUCGGGAGCGCAGUGACAGGUGGUGCAUGGCUGUCGUCAGCUCGUGUCGUGAGAUGUUGGGUUAAGUCCCGCAACGAGCGCAACCCACGUCUUUAGUUGCCAGCAUUUAGUUGGGCACUCUAGAGAGACCGCCGGUGAUAAACCGGAGGAAGGUGUGGAUGACGUCAAGUCAUCAUGCCCCUUACAUCCUGGGCUACACACGUACUACAAUGCUACGGACAAAGGGCAGCAAACUCGCGAGAGCUAGCAAAUCCCAUAAACCGUGGCUCAGUUCAGAUCGUAGGCUGCAACUCGCCUACGUGAAGGAGGAAUCGCUAGUAAUCGCAGGUCAGCAUACUGCGGUGAAUACGUUCCCGGGCCUUGUACACACCGCCCGUCACACCAUGGAAGUUGGCCACGCCCGAAGUCGUUACUCCAACCCUUGUGGAGGAGGAUGCCGAAGGUGGGGCUGAUGACUGGGGUGAAGUCGUAACAAGGUAGCCGUACCGGAAGGUGCGGCUGGAUCACCUCCUAACAGGGAGACAAUACCUGAUUGUGAUGUCUGAGUAAUUUAAUCUCAGGCCAUGAUCCUGUCAUCUCGAAGGUCGAUCGGUACCUCAACUUGAGGGUAGGAGAAGAGCUGAGAAAUCAGUUUGGAGACUUAUCAAUCAAUUUCAGUUCCUAAACUUUGUCUAGGUCACCCCACAGCGGGUCACAACUCCUGGGCCAUUAGCUCAGGUGGUUAGAGCGCACCCCUGAUAAGGGUGAGGUCCCUGGUUCAAGUCCAGGAUGGCCCAUUCGUGUUUGGGGGUUUAGCUCAGUUGGUAGAGCGCCUGCUUUGCAAGCAGGAUGUCAGCGGUUCGAGUCCGCUAACCUCCAUCCAAUGAUGUUGCUCAUCCCUCGGACCAUGCACGGUUAGAAGCCGUGUGAGGUAAGGAGUUCUGCUGUUGUGUUGAUCUGGAUUGUUGUUCGCUGAAGAUUUCAGCUUCUUUUCAUUAUUGCCUGAUCGAGGCAAGGUUGAAAAGACGCUGGAUUCAGUCUAGCCCUGGCAACAGGGCUGUUUGAAUGUCAGCAGAACCUUGACAACUGCAUAGUUGAAGUCUGGAAAUAAAGCAUCUCAUGGAUGCUUGAUUCUAGCUUGGAUCCAAUCCAGGAAUGGAUAGGGUUUAGGAUGUGAAUCAAGAAAAUUCUAUUGAGUUUUUAGAGCCGAGAGCUUCCAGUUUUCUUUUGAGCCCGCCGAGGGUUUGGGAGUUUGAUCCUGGUAUUCAAACCACAGCCAAGCUUGUAAUUUCUUAUGAGCAAGGUUGUAGGUGAAUCUAGAGAGAAUAGGCCUCAACAGCC